Molecule: ribosomal RNA, 492 nt
Filed under: uncultured bacterium
Lineage: Bacteria
Description: partial 16S ribosomal RNA
Rfam family: Bacterial small subunit ribosomal RNA
Source: RNAcentral
AGUGAACGCUGGCGGUAGGCCUAACACAUGCAAGUCGAACGGCAGCACAGUAAGAGCUUGCUCUUACGGGUGGCGAGUGGCGGACGGGUGAGGAAUACAUCGGAAUCUACUUUUUCGUGGGGGAUAACGUAGGGAAACUUACGCUAAUACCGCAUACGACCUACGGGUGAAAGCAGGGGAUCUUCGGACCUUGCGCGAUUGAAUGAGCCGAUGUCGGAUUAGCUAGUUGGCGGGGGAAAGGCCCACCAAGGCGACGAUCCGUAGCUGGUCUGAGAGGAUGAUCAGCCACACUGGAACGGAGACACGGUCCAGACUCCUACGGGAGGCAGCAGUGGGGAAUAUUGGACAAUGGGCGCAAGCCUGAUCCAGCCAUACCGCGUGGGUGAAGAAGGCCUUCGGGUUGUAAAGCCCUUUUGUUGGGAAAGAAAAGCAGCAGGUUAAUACCCCGCUGUCCUGACGGUACCCAAAGAAUAAGCACCGGCUAACUUCGUG